RNAcentral lists this ribosomal RNA (396 nucleotides) under uncultured bacterium. RNAcentral's name for it is "bacterial SSU rRNA". It matches the Rfam family "Bacterial small subunit ribosomal RNA", at positions 28 to 417 of the family's 1533-position model. The record is from RNAcentral.
GACGAACGCUGGCGGCGUGCCUAACACAUGCAAGUGGAGCGACGAACCGGGCUUCGGCCCGGGGCCAAGCCGCGAACGGGUGAGUAACACGUGGGUAACCUGCCCUGAUGAUUGGGACAACCCGAGGAAACUCGGGCUAAUACCGAAUGUGCCCUCCGACCAUAAGGUCUGCGGGGAAAGGAAGCUUCGGCCUCCGCAUCGGGAUGGGCCCGCGGCGCAUUAGCUUGUUGGUGAGGUAACGGCUCACCAAGGCGACGAUGCGUAGCUGGUCUGAGAGGACGAUCAGCCACACUGGGACUGAGACACGGCCCAGACUCCUACGGGAGGCAGCAGUGGGGAAUCUUGCGCAAUGCGCGAAAGCGUGACGCAGCAACGCCGCGUGGGGGAAGACGGCCU